GUGGGGUACCACCCCCACCGGAGGAGAUGAUAAUGGUGAUAAUGGAAGUGGCAAUUGAAUGAAUAAUAUGUGUGUGUGUGUGUGUGUGUGUAAUAAUAUUGCGCGAAUAUGCUUUUGUUUUCCCUUCAUCUCUCCUUCUUAGUUCUUAACUAAUAGCUUGUGUGUUUUGAGGGUUUAGACGUACUAUGUAACAACGUUAUAUCAUGUCUGGCACGGUAAUUGAUAUAUGGAUUUUUGUUUAAUUUCAUAUAAAGAUCCAAAUUAAUCCAAUUAAUAACAAGCUGG
This 285-nucleotide long non-coding RNA is filed under the name Erythranthe guttata (spotted monkey flower). RNAcentral describes it as "long non-coding RNA (EGUT_LNC001460)". The record is from RNAcentral. Lineage: Eukaryota; Viridiplantae; Streptophyta; Magnoliopsida; Lamiales; Phrymaceae.